AACGAACGCUGGCGGCAUGCCUAACACAUGCAAGUCGAACGAGACCUUCGGGUCUAGUGGCGCACGGGUGCGUAACGCGUGGGAACCUGCCCUUAGGUUCGGAAUAACUCCCCGAAAGGGGUGCUAAUACCGGAUAAUGUCUUCGGACCAAAGAUUUAUCGCCUUUGGAUGGGCCCGCGUUGGAUUAGCUAGUUGGUAGGGUAAAAGCCUACCAAGGCGACGAUCCAUAGCUGGUCUGAGAGGAUGAUCAGCCACACUGGGACUGAGACACGGCCCAGACUCCUACGGGAGGCAGCAGUGGGGAAUAUUGGACAAGGGGCGAAAGCCUGAGCCAGCAAUGCCGCGUGAGUGAUGAAGGCCUUAGGGUUGUAAAGCUCUUUUACCCGGGAUGAUAAUGACAGUACCGGGAGAAUAAGCUCCGGCUAACUCCGUG
Molecule: ribosomal RNA, 433 nt
Filed under: uncultured bacterium
Lineage: Bacteria
Description: partial 16S ribosomal RNA
Rfam family: Bacterial small subunit ribosomal RNA
Source: RNAcentral